This 170-nucleotide ribosomal RNA is filed under the name Synagrops japonicus (blackmouth cardinalfish). Its description in RNAcentral is "partial 12S rRNA". The record is from RNAcentral. Lineage: Eukaryota; Metazoa; Chordata; Actinopteri; Acropomatiformes; Acropomatidae. RNAcentral also lists the same sequence under 1 other name.
CACCGCGGUUAUACGAGAGACCCAAGUUGAUGCACACCGGCGUAAAGAGUGGUUAGUCAAGACUUUUAAAAUAAAGCCGAACACCCUCAGAGCUGUUAUAAGCAUCCGAAGGUACGAAGUUCAAUCACGAAAGUAGCUUUAAAUCACAUGACCCCACGAAAGCUAGGGCA